Molecule: ribosomal RNA, 524 nt
Filed under: uncultured bacterium
Lineage: Bacteria
Description: partial 16S ribosomal RNA
Rfam family: Bacterial small subunit ribosomal RNA
Source: RNAcentral
UGGGGAAUAUUGCACAAUGGGCGAAAGCCUGAUGCAGCAACGCCGCGUGAGUGAUGAAGGCCUUCGGGUUGUAAAGCUCUGUCUUUUGGGACGAUAGUGACGGUACCAAAGGAGGAAGCCACGGCUAACUACGUGCCAGCAGCCGCGGUAAUACGUAGGUGGCAAGCGUUGUCCGGAUUUACUGGGCGUAAAGGAUGCGUAGGCGGAUUUUUAAGUGAGAUGUGAAAUACCCGGGCUUAACUUGGGUGCUGCAUUUCAAACUGGGAAUCUAGAGUGCGGGAGAGGAGAAUGGAAUUCCUAGUGUAGCGGUGAAAUGCGUAGAGAUUAGGAAGAACACCAGUGGCGAAGGCGAUUCUCUGGACCGUAACUGACGCUGAGGCAUGAAAGCGUGGGUAGCAAACAGGAUUAGAUACCCUGGUAGUCCACGCCGUAAACGAUGAGUACUAGGUGUAGGAGGUAUCGACCCCUUCUGUGCCGCAGUUAACACAAUAAGUACUCCGCCUGGGAAGUACGAUCGCAAGAUU